Molecule: transfer RNA, 66 nt
Filed under: Myrmica scabrinodis
Lineage: Eukaryota; Metazoa; Arthropoda; Insecta; Hymenoptera; Formicidae
Description: transfer RNA-Asn
Source: RNAcentral
UUAACUAAAACCAAAAAGAGGUAAAUUAUUGUUAAUAAUCUAAUUGAAAUAAUUAUUCUAGUUAAA